Uranotaenia lowii is the source of this 4821-nucleotide RNA transcript. It is a transcript of the gene named epsin-1, with no coding region annotated. The record is from RefSeq and is a predicted model, not a curated record. The transcript has 13 exons. NCBI's taxonomy places the organism in Eukaryota, Metazoa, Arthropoda, Insecta, Diptera, Culicidae.
UGAUAUCUAGCCCCAUCCAUACUGCUGAACAGAAGUUGAUGGACGGCCAGACUUACUCAGGGGAGACCCCAGUGGCCAGUCGCUAUUGAUGUUCAAUGAGAAAUAGUAUCGGAUCUAGUGUCGUCCUUCCGUUUACCUUUCCUGAGGUGGGGGUGUUGAUUGGGAAUUAACGUGAAAAAGAACAGUGAAUUUUCUACAUUUGUGCUGUGCUGUGAAUUGGAAAACUUACUACCUACUAGUGAACAACGCAAUUUAGAACAAAUUGCAUCCCUAAUAUCACAACUGGACCAUCGCCUGCGGAUAAAAAUCAUCAACAUUCACGAGUCACCAAAAUACUACGUGCAAAAUGAAACGCAAUAACGACACCCAGAUGAAUGUGGCCGGCAUACGUCGGAACAUCAAGAACCUCGCACACAACUAUUCAGAUGCUCAGAUCAAGGUGCGAGAGGCGACCUCAAAUGAUCCGUGGGGUCCGUCGUCCACAAUCAUGGCGGAAAUCGCCGACCUAACCUACAACGUCGUUGCCUUCUCAGAGAUUAUGCAGAUGAUUUGGAAGCGGACCAACGAUCACGGCAAAAACUGGAGGCACGUGUACAAGGCUCUGCUGCUGCUGGACUAUCUGAUCAAAACCGGAACUGAGAAGGUAGCCCAGCAGUGUAAGGAAAAUAUCUACGCCAUCAAAACGCUGCAAGACUUUCAGUACAUCGAAGAGGGCAAGGAUCAGGGAAUGCACGUACGGGAAAAGGCCAAACAGUUGGUAUCGCUGCUCAAAGAUGACGAUCGAUUGAAAAACGAAAGAGCCCGAGCUCUGAAGGCGAAAGAACGCUUCGCCCGAACCGCCAGCGGAUUCGGAUCGGAUGGAUCGAUCGAUGGACCCACUCAGCGAGAAUCGAGGCCUCCGAAUUGGGGAGAUGGAGAGGGUGCUCCGAAGCCUGUAUCGGAGAUUGAAUUCGUUCGACCGCAAACAGUUGGAGAGGAGGAACUGCAACUGCAGCUGGCCAUGGCCAUGUCUCGCGAGGAAGCCGAACAGGAAGAACAGAGGCGGAGAAGUGACGAUGUGCGAUUACAGAUGGCGCUCAGCCAAAGCGAGAACGACUUCAAGAAAGAUGAUAAACCUGAAAGUUCUCUUGUCGAUCUACUGGAUAUUUCGUUUGGAGCCGCCAGUAUUACCAGUCCUUCUCAACAGCCUGGACCAUCGACUAGUGCAGACCCGUGGGGUCUUCCAGUCGCUGGAGGAUUAAGGCCACAGACCAACGAUCCAUGGUCCAGAACCUCUUCGCCACCGGCAAGCGAUCCAUGGUUGAACAGUGCAUCCGCGUUACCACCUCCGAGUUCCAAACCACCCAUGGUAGGGGGAGGACAGCUAGAUGCCUGGGCGCCGGUACGAACACAAUCACCGUCCGUUACAUCGGGAUCAUCCGUCGAGGGUUGGCUGCAAAACGGAACUGGAGGCGGUGCCAAUGGAUUGGCCGGAACCAACGGCAAUGUUGACCCCUGGAUGAACAAAGCUGCAGCUGCUGCGCCUCUCCAAGAUGCAUGGCAACCGAAACGAACCACACCAGUGCCUACCGCUGAUCCCUGGCAAUCCAACACUGCUAAGCACGAUCCCUGGGCACCAGUCAGUGGUGGAAUCGACGGGUUAUCUGCACUUCCUGCUACUCGACCCUCGCCCGUCGGAGCAAUUACCUCGCCCACUUCUGACCUAGACGAAUUUGACAUUAUCACCAAGCGGAGUAAUAACGGCAAUGCAAUGAAUAACAAUCUAAAUAACAAUGGUGGCUCAUUAUUGGAUGACCUAGAUCCGCUCUCAUCGGGUAACACUUCCAGUUCCGCCAGCAAUUCGAUGCCAGCUACCGCGGCUAAGAAGACACCUGCCUCUUUCCUGGGCGAAAACUCCUCGCUGGUCAAUCUGGACAAUCUUAUCAAACCAGUAACACCGGUGAUGCCGGGAACUGGCUUAGGUUCCACAGCACCAGCUUACAAUCCCUUCGGAGACACCGCACCGGUGCAGAAGAACCUAUUUCAGCAAAAUCAACCACAGGUACCGUCCAUCAAUCAGCUGAAACAAACACCAUUCCCUGUGACGUUGAAUCAGGAUCCGUGGGCACCGGUUAGUUCGGCGGCAGCAGCACAGGUGGGUGAGGAAAUUUUCCCCUUCGGAAUGGAGGGUGGGACUGUUAGUAAAUCUAAUUUUGAAAACCAAUUCUCCACUAACACGAGCAAUAACAAUAACAUCACCGAUUUCAAUGGGAAUCCUCCCACCGUGGACAGGAUCGACGAUGAUGAUAUUUUCAAUACCAACUUUGCCUCCUCGGCGGACGCUCCAAUGGCACCGCUCGAGGAUGGUGUUAUGCUAACAGAUGCCAAUGUGGCUGAGCUGAAGGAUUAUUACAAGUUCAGCUUCGGCAUUGACGAACCGUGCGAUACUCACUCUAACAAUGUCAAUUGUACUGACCACUCCUCGAUGGGUAGUUGGACGCUUAAAUAGAACUAAACCUGCUACUCCUACAUAGUGUAACCAAAAAACAAACGGCAAGAGAACACGCAUUGUGACUGAAUGAGCGAUUGGAUUGUUGUGUGACUAACAAUCCCCCACAAAGGUGGCUGGUUUUUGGCGAAAGAGUGCAUUUUGGAACAAUAUUAAUAACAACAACAGUGCUCCAUGGAUGAACCAGCCGGCAUCAUCGAAUCCAUUCCUAUCGUAAAAGGGCGACUGAUAUUUUGAACAGAAAAAGCAAAUUCCAAACUAAACUGGUGGAAUUAAAAAAAUUGCAAAACAGUACUACUGCUACUAUUAAUGUUACUAUGGCGGAGAAAUAGUAGAGAGAAGGCGAGAGAGGAAGCAAAACGAUCAUGUGAAUGAGUUUUAGUUACACGUAUAAAUCAACAAUUGUAUUGUGAAGGAAAAUUUGACUGUACGUUACGAGCAACAAUAGGGUAUGGAAACUAAAAUGAAACCAAUAGUAAACUAAAAAAAACCAUUGAAGUUUUCUUUCUCCGAGUCCAUGCAAACAGCUACCAUUAGAAACGCCAAUGAUGUCGCUCUAUAAUCGCAAAUAGUAACCAAUCUAAGAAUUGAAAAAAAAAACGAAGAAAAUCAUAAAUGCCUUACUAAAUGUAUAAUGAAACAGAGCAAAAAAAAAAAACUACUACUACAUACUAGCUAGUAUGACGUCGAAAGAUUGUGCUAGUGACUGCUGACUACAUAACUAGAUACACGUGUCGUAGGCUACCAAAUACAAGAAGAAAAUAUUACUAAACAAAACCCAUUAAGUAACCGACGUAAACGAAAACAGAGCUGAAACUAAAAACUAGGUGAAUUAACAUUAAAAAAAAACAAAACUUUCGAGUGCAAAUUUUUAAAGCAUUCUCCCUUUGAUUGAUGGUGACGUGUUUUGUAUAAUCACUGAGAAAAUGUGUGUAAAAUAAAACGUUCGUUUAUUGUAUGUGAUUUGUCAUAAACUCACACAUACACUAUCACACACAAGCUAGACAUACCCAAUUCUGGUAAAAACAAAAAAAAAAUCAUAACAUGCGUAAAUUUACUAAAUGUGAUAAUUGUUACCACACAGUCUCUUUUUUACUGAAGUGUGUUGUUCGAAUUGUAAGGCAAUUGAAAACCACAUGAAACUUGAUGCAAACGUAUGACAAACAUAUGAUGUAGAACCUCUCGUAAAUGUUUGAUCCUAACGAAAAAUGGCACUAUUUUUUUUAAACUUCUACUUCUUCUGAAUUGAAAAAAAUCUUUUAUUAACUGAAACAUGAUAAAUAAAAGUCAAACGAAUGGUUGAGAUUUUGAUAAGGGAUUCCUGUAUUUUUUUCUUCUCACUAGAUUGACGCCUAAGCAAUUAUUUUUUCUGAGUGUGUUCUAAGUAAAGGUAUUAUUUGAGUAAAACACAAUGCCAAUUUUACAGCUUAGUUUGUCCCUUGAGUUUUUAUCGUCAAUUUGAACAUUGAUAUCAGAUUAUAAUUAUUCAAACGCAUGCUUGUCUAUUUUAUUAAAAGGAUUUAACGAUUGCUUUCUGGAUUUUUAUUGGUUUCCAGAAAAACAUGAAAAAAUACAUCGUGCUUUUUUCAUAACCAAUAGACAUUAUCAAAGAAGAAAAGAGAGAAAGAUUUAAAUCUUUCAUUCAUUUAUGUUUAAUCAACAGAACGCCAGAAAGUAUUGCCCUUUCGUCGUCGCACCAGAGAAAUAUUUUCUUCUUUUCUUACAUCUAAUUACAUUAUUACGGGUUGGGAAACGGUUUAGGAGCGCCCGUUUUUUUUUUGCAAAUAUUUAUUCAAACACGUAAGCGAAUAGAAAUCAUUGUCAUUAUGAGUUACAACAAAGAUAUACAAGAAGAAUCAUAAUAUAUUGAAGUAAUAUUAUUAGUUGGCUCUAGCAGUAAUUUGUAGUAGGUCGUAAAGUUUCUUUUUCUAUAGUUUAAAAAUGGAAACAGUAUACAAGAAAACAAAAACAUGGUGAGGCAUUUCCAACAGCCGCAAACGAAAUCAAACAAAAUAAAAACAUAAUUCUCUACUAAUGCAUCAUUAUUUUUACAGAUAGAUUGAAAAAAAGAUUAAUGUUUUUUUUAUAUAAGAAUUGAAACUUUAUUCAACUUGACUAAUUCUUAGCCGACUUGUCUCCCGAAGGUCGAACGAAUCAAACUAGCUAACUGGGAAGGUAGGACUGUAUAAAAUUCAAGAAAAACUGGCGGCGAAGUUUGUGUAUAAUAGCCUAAAUCAGUUGGAAGAAAUUAAACGGAACAUGAUAAAGAAGAAAAAAAAACAAAGAAAAGGAUGAAUGAAAUUAUAUAUUUUUAAUAAAUCAACUUGAUUUCA